AUGGUCGUUGUCGCCGCGGACGUCGUCGACGCAGCCCCGCGUCGGGGAGAGCAGCAGAAGCCUAGAGGUGGUUGUCGUCGCUGCUCAUGGCUGCCGGCAAAGGCCACUCCGCCUCUCCCGCCACCCACUCCGCCUCGCCGCCGAGGUUGUCGCCAUCACACGGGUGGGGUGCGGCCGCGUCGCUGGGGUUGA
Molecule: ribosomal RNA, 192 nt
Filed under: Triticum aestivum (bread wheat)
Lineage: Eukaryota; Viridiplantae; Streptophyta; Magnoliopsida; Poales; Poaceae
Description: partial small subunit ribosomal RNA
Source: RNAcentral